GGGGGUGCAACGGUUUCGACGGGGGCACGGAACGAAGAGACUGCGUGUCGCGGAUCCCAGGCCCCCGCGUCAAAACGACCUGGGAAACCACAGCUGCCAACGACAGCAACUACGGCCGUAUGGCCCUCGUCGCCUAAGAACCGACGACGCGUGCAGGUGAGGAGCUCGAGUAGCCUGCACGCGUGGACACACGAGCUGGUCGUCACGAGUGUCGCGGCGUGACGGCAAGAUCAAGCGGCUGGGCGAAGGGAUCGCUUGCCUGUAGGCGUGCCCCGAGCCGAGAUAAAAUCUGCAGGACACACACGUGAAGAGGUCCUGUGCGAAGGCCUUCGGACCCGGGUUCGACUCCCGGCGCCUCCACUG
This 363-nucleotide transfer-messenger RNA is filed under the name Nannocystaceae. RNAcentral describes it as "Ga0077550 sp016709225 Standard tmRNA". It matches the Rfam family "transfer-messenger RNA". From Rfam's summary of the family: Bacterial tmRNA, also known as 10Sa RNA or SsrA, is named for its dual tRNA and mRNA-like properties. Its role is to liberate the mRNA from a stalled ribosome. To accomplish this part of the tmRNA is used as a reading frame that ends in a translation stop signal. RNAcentral also lists the same sequence under 1 other name. Lineage: Bacteria; Pseudomonadati; Myxococcota; Nannocystales. The record is from RNAcentral.